This 253-nucleotide ribosomal RNA is filed under the name uncultured bacterium. RNAcentral's name for it is "partial 16S ribosomal RNA". It matches the Rfam family "Bacterial small subunit ribosomal RNA", at positions 524 to 776 of the family's 1533-position model. The record is from RNAcentral.
UACAGAGGUCUCAAGCGUUGUUCGGAUUCAUUGGGCGUAAAGGGUGUGUAGGUGGCGCCGUAAGUCGGGUGUGAAAUUUCGGAGCUUAACUCCGAAACUGCAUUCGAUACUGCGGUGCUUGAGGACUGGAGAGGAGACUGGAAUUCAUGGUGUAGCAGUGAAAUGCGUAGAUAUCGAGAGGAACACCUGCGGCGAAGGCGGGUUGCUGGGCUGACACUGACGCUGAGGAGCGAAAGCGUGGGGAGCAAACAGG